UAGAACGCUUCUGCCGUUCCUUUGCUUGGUUGUGACCCCACCAGCUGCAGAGCUCCACCUGCACGGACGAGACUCGCACCGAGAUGUUAAGUGCGGAGCUCAGAAACCUCUUGCUGCUUUAAACAGCACCACCCAGUCUCGAGGCUGUACCUCCAUCUCCGGAACGAUUCUCUUUCCCGUGUUUUUCAGGUGGCUAUGACAGAAUGCUGCAGUCGCAGAUGAAUUCAGAGAGUUCGGACAGCAAAACCUGCCAAAGCAUCCAAAAAAGGAUUGCAAUGGAGGAGUUCAACUUGAAGACUCAGUGCAGUAGAAUGGCAAAUCCUUUGCUUUAAUACUCAUGCUCUUGGUGUGGGGAGCAUUUGUUGUUCAGUCAACAUGUGCAACAUGUACAACUCCCAUUACCCCUGAGGACAGGUCCUGGUAGGGAAGGAUGAUGGGAGUUGUAGUCCAACAACAGCUGGGGACCCAAGUUUGGGAAACCCUGGACUAGAAGAUAGCCAGUGCUCCACUCUCUCUCCACUCCUCCCCAAGAGAAACACAUUCAAAUAAAUUAAAAGUUUAAAACUAGA
Podarcis raffonei (Aeolian wall lizard) is the source of this 569-nucleotide long non-coding RNA. RefSeq lists it as uncharacterized. NCBI's taxonomy places the organism in Eukaryota, Metazoa, Chordata, Lepidosauria, Squamata, Lacertidae. The record is from RefSeq and is a predicted model, not a curated record. The transcript has 2 exons.